UAGGGAAUCUUCGGCAAUGGGGGCAACCCUGACCGAGCAACGCCGCGUGAGUGAAGAAGGUUUUCGGAUCGUAAAGCUCUGUUGUAAGAGAAGAACGUGUGUGAGAGUGGAAAGUUCACACAGUGACGGUAACUUACCAGAAAGGGACGGCUAACUACGUGCCAGCAGCCGCGGUAAUACGUAGGUCCCGAGCGUUGUCCGGAUUUAUUGGGCGUAAAGCGAGCGCAGGCGGUUUAAUAAGUCUGAAGUUAAAGGCAGUGGCUUAACCAUUGUUCGCUUUGGAAACUGUUAAACUUGAGUGCAGAAGGAGAGAGUGGAAGUCCAUGUGUAGCGGUGAAAUGCGUAGAUAUAUGGAGGAACACCGGUGGCGAAAGCGGCUCUCUGGUCUGUAACUGACGCUGAGGCUCGAAAGCGUGGGGAGCAAACAGG
This 429-nucleotide ribosomal RNA is filed under the name bacterium. Its description in RNAcentral is "partial 16S ribosomal RNA". It matches the Rfam family "Bacterial small subunit ribosomal RNA", at positions 355 to 776 of the family's 1533-position model. The record is from RNAcentral.